UACGUAGGGUGCAAGCGUUGUCCGGAUUUAUUGGGCGUAAAGAGCUCGUAGGCGGCUUAGAAAGUCAGGUGUGAAACCUCCAGGCUCAACCUGGAGACGCCACUUGAUACUUCUAUGGCUUGAGUUCGGUAGGGGAACACGGAAUUCCUGGUGUAGCGGUGAAAUGCGCAGAUAUCAGGAGGAACACCAGUGGCGAAGGCGGUGCUCUGGGCCGGAACUGACGCUGAGGAGCGAAAGCGUGGGGAGCAAACAGG
RNAcentral lists this ribosomal RNA (254 nucleotides) under uncultured bacterium. RNAcentral describes it as "partial 16S ribosomal RNA". It matches the Rfam family "Bacterial small subunit ribosomal RNA", at positions 524 to 776 of the family's 1533-position model. The record is from RNAcentral.